This 252-nucleotide ribosomal RNA is filed under the name uncultured prokaryote. RNAcentral describes it as "partial 16S rRNA". It matches the Rfam family "Archaeal small subunit ribosomal RNA", at positions 475 to 726 of the family's 1478-position model. The record is from RNAcentral.
ACCGGCGGCUCGAGUGGUGGCCACUAUUACUGGGCUUAAAGCGUUCGUAGCUGGCUUGUUAAGUCUCUGGGGAAAUCUUCCGGCUCAACCGGAAGGCGUCUCAGGGAUACUGGCAGGCUAGGGACCGGAAGAGGUGAGAGGUACUCCAGGGGGAGGAGUGAAAUGCGGGAAUCCGUGGGGGAGCAACGAAGGCGGAGGAGGCUCACCGGGAAGGCUCCGAUUGUGAGGAACGAAAGCUGCGGCAGCAAACUG